Paramuricea clavata is the source of this 258-nucleotide non-coding RNA. Lineage: Eukaryota; Metazoa; Cnidaria; Anthozoa; Malacalcyonacea; Plexauridae. The record is from the annotation of a GenBank genome assembly.
AAAAAAUUAGUCUAACAUGCAGUUGUCUAUUGGCUCAAUUUAAACUCCGUACAGGCAGGACGUUUUCCUUGACAGAUUUUCUUUUGAUGUACGCUACAAAUUUCCAUGUUUUCCCUUGUGAAGGAGUCUCGUUCAAAAGCUCGUCGUAUCAGCAUUUUCCACACAAGGAAAACUGUUCGUGUUUACGGGCGGCGAGGGAAAACUUGACACUAUUCAUUAAAUCUCGUUUAUUUUGAAAUUUGCUUUUGUAAUGUGGCG